Molecule: ribosomal RNA, 207 nt
Filed under: uncultured bacterium
Lineage: Bacteria
Description: partial 16S ribosomal RNA
Rfam family: Bacterial small subunit ribosomal RNA
Source: RNAcentral
UGCGUAGGUGGUCGUAUUAGUCGUUUGUUAAAAACCGGGGCUCAACCCCGGGAAUGCGGGCGAAACGGUACGACUCGAGAGCGUGAGAGGUGCAUAGAACUCUAGGUGUAGGGGUGAAAUCCGUUGAUAUCUAGGGGAAUACCGAAAGCGAAGGCAGUGCACUGGCGCGUUUCUGACACUGAAGCACGAAAGCGUGGGUAGCGAACG